CUGUAGUUCCGGGCAGCCAAGCUAUCCCUGAGCAGGGCCAAGGGAGAGCCUGACUGGCUUCCUGAAGCCUCCCGGCGGCUGCACCAGAACGCACUUCCGCGGCCUCGGAGGGGACACAGGGGGCUGCUCCGUCCGAGUGGGCGAGCGGGAUGCCCGGGCCGUGAGGAACCGGCCCAGAUUAUCUCUACUUUGUGUGCAGAUGUGUUCCUGUUUCAUCUAAGGUCGAUAAGCUGAUUUUGGAGGAUCAGGUACGCUAAAGGGAAUCAGUGGCACAGGGAAGGCUGUUUGGAGAGAUAGUAAUUACUUUGAAAUUGUAAGUAUUUGUUCCCAAUCUCUGGAAACAAGAAUUAAAUUGUGAUUGAGUUAAGAGUUUGAGAGGAUUAGCUGAAGGAGUUUUGCGGCUUUAAAAGAAACAGGAAAAACCUUUUUCUUUUGCUCUGUCUUUACCUAAGCCGGGGCAAUAUCUUUAAUAAAUAUGUUGCUUAAUACA
Molecule: long non-coding RNA, 490 nt
Filed under: Meriones unguiculatus (Mongolian gerbil)
Lineage: Eukaryota; Metazoa; Chordata; Mammalia; Rodentia; Muridae
Description: lncRNA (ENSMUGG00000004145.1)
Source: RNAcentral